RNAcentral lists this long non-coding RNA (219 nucleotides) under Elaeis guineensis (African oil palm). Its description in RNAcentral is "long non-coding RNA (EGUI_LNC044552)". The record is from RNAcentral. Lineage: Eukaryota; Viridiplantae; Streptophyta; Magnoliopsida; Arecales; Arecaceae.
GCCCUGUACUGGUCAGGUUUCUCCAAGAACCUGACUCCACCCUCUCAGAACCUCCUCUGAACUUUUGAUUUUCCUUAUUUAGAAUCCUUACAACCCUUGUUAGGACCAGAUAAGGCUUUGCCUUAAAUCCCAAAGUCUUGUCCUUAAACUAAGAUAGGUUGUAAGAAAAAAAAGAGAGCAACGGAGAGAAAUUGAAAAUCCGAUCUGAAUGCCUCAGAC